Molecule: transfer RNA, 74 nt
Filed under: Pseudomonadota bacterium
Lineage: Bacteria; Pseudomonadati; Pseudomonadota
Also listed under: 1 other name
Description: Proteobacteria bacterium (cold seep metagenome) tRNA-Gln
Rfam family: tRNA
About the family: Transfer RNA (tRNA) molecules are approximately 80 nucleotides in length. Their secondary structure includes four short double-helical elements and three loops (D, anti-codon, and T loops).
Source: RNAcentral
UGGGGGAUCGUCCAGUGGUAGGACAGUGGACUCUGGAUCCAUUAACGGGGGUUCAAAUCCUCCUCCCCCAGCCA